UACAGAGACCUCAAGCGUUAUCCGGAAUCAUUGGGCGUAAAGCGUACCGAUAGGUCGUUUAUAAAGUCUUGGGUAAAAGCCGGAAGCUCAACUUCCGCGUUUGCUUAAGAUACUUAUAGACUAGAGGGGCAAAGAGGUGCUUGGAACCAACGGUGUAGUAGUGAAAUGCGUUGAUAUCGUUGGGAACACCGAAAGCGAAGGCAGAGCACUGGGUGCCACCUGACACUGCUAGGACGAAAGCGUGGGGAGCGAAUGGG
This 257-nucleotide ribosomal RNA is filed under the name uncultured bacterium. Its description in RNAcentral is "partial 16S ribosomal RNA". It matches the Rfam family "Bacterial small subunit ribosomal RNA", at positions 524 to 776 of the family's 1533-position model. The record is from RNAcentral.